GCACAUACCAAUAGAUAGGCAAGGCACCACGGCCAUGGUAAGAAACUCCAGGAGUGCAAGGGUAGGUGUAUUUGUAGUAAUCAUCACAAUACAAUUUGCUGGGACUCAUUUCUUUGUUGUAGCAUAGACCCCAAGCCAAUGGUCCCCCAGUUGCCACUCCAUAACCACCUGCAAUUAUUCAAAACUAAGUGCCAUUCUACAUAUAAUUCAUACACUACUACAAUGGAACAUGUAUGGAUUCAUCUAGAAGCUUUGAAACCCAAAAAAGAAAAUCUAGAAGCUAUAUUUUGCCUUGCUUUUUAUUCAUUUAUUUUUAACUAAUUUUGUAUGGUAAACCUAGACAAAAAUGGUGUCGUGGUGUAGUUGGUUAUCACGUCAGUCUAACACACUGAAGGUCUCCAGUUCGAGUCUGGGCGACGCCAUUGUUUUUUCCUAAGUUUAGUUUUGUGGCUUUCUUACAUGAAGUCUUGCUGCCGACAUGUCCAAGAAAAGCUGCCAAUUCCUUCAUGCUCUGGAGCUUACCGCCGGUGGUACCAAAACCAUGAGGCUGAUACUGAGCCGCCGCCGUAAUGAAAGAAUGGUAAUCCCAGAACCCAACCGCAUGUGCCACCGGU
This 614-nucleotide long non-coding RNA is filed under the name Gossypium barbadense (sea-island cotton). RNAcentral describes it as "long non-coding RNA (GBAR_LNC008248)". The stretch from base 349 to 422 matches the Rfam family "tRNA". The record is from RNAcentral. Lineage: Eukaryota; Viridiplantae; Streptophyta; Magnoliopsida; Malvales; Malvaceae.